AGUGCAGGGCUAAAUGACGGUGAGACAGGCCAAUUGCUGAGGUCAAUUAAAAGAAAGAGAGGUCCCUGUAAGAGAACACCCUGGAGUGUUAAUGAAAUCCAUGCUGUGGAGAACCACAUGAUGAGGUUCAUUCAAAGCUGGAAAGUUCCAGGAAAAGCUGACUGUGUUCGCUGUAUAGAAGCUGAACCACUGGCACUUAAAAACAGAGACUGGUUAGCUGUUAAGUUCUACGUAAAAAAUCGCAUCACAGCAUUGCAGAGACAGGUGUAAGACUUGGUCAACACAUACUGUAUCUUGAAUGGAGAAUCUCCAGAGCUUUAUUAUUUAACUUAAAUUGUUAAUUUUGAUGGUUUUCUUUGGUCUGGUUAAUCUGGUCAUGUGGACAAGGUUGUUCAAGGUAAAAGGUUUAUUGCAAGAUGCAUAUUUGUUAGAGUUGCUGCAGUAUGUUCUUAACUUUUCUACAUCUAAUACCUAUUCUGCUACUAAUAAAUACGUCUCUAAACUAAUGCAUCUAUCUGGAAUAGUAAUUUUGUUUGCAUUAAGAAGAAAAAAGCAAUGUUCCUUCUCAGCAUGGAACUGGUCCUCACAAAGAAUGAAAACGGGUGAUGUGUGUAAUGAUGGUCCUCAGAUAUA
Molecule: long non-coding RNA, 633 nt
Organism: Colossoma macropomum (tambaqui)
Lineage: Eukaryota; Metazoa; Chordata; Actinopteri; Characiformes; Serrasalmidae
Exons: 2
Source: RefSeq, a predicted model, not a curated record